Hipposideros armiger (great roundleaf bat) is the source of this 3448-nucleotide RNA transcript. It is a transcript of the gene named armadillo repeat-containing protein 2-like, with no coding region annotated. The record is from RefSeq and is a predicted model, not a curated record. Lineage: Eukaryota; Metazoa; Chordata; Mammalia; Chiroptera; Hipposideridae. The transcript has 16 exons.
CCUCCAUGCGUCCAGUUUUGAGUCAUCUGAUCCCAGGCCCAUCUCUGGUGCACGUCUCAGCCCACUAGAGCUUGAAAGAAGACAGGGGAAUCCAAAGGAAGAAGUCUGAUGGGGAACUCUAUGGUGAAAAUCAAUGGGACUUAUUUAACAGAAUCAAACCCCAUUGGCCAUUUAAAGAGUCACCCACUUCAGCUAACUUACGAUGGAGGCUUCAGUGAAAUCAAGGAGCAAGGAAUGUUCAAAGAGUCAACAUCCUUGCCAUCUCACCUCAGAAGUAGAGGGGACCAGGGGAAGAGGCGUUCGGGGGCCUCAUCAUGCCCCAACAGCCCGGACCUGAGCAGGCUGGAAACCAAAGCAGUUUCUAAAGCCGACUCGCCAGAAAAGGAUACAGAAACUGAUGUCGAUGAUAUCUUUUGGAAUACAAGGAUUGUACCAAUUUUGCAUGAAUUAGAAAAAGAAGAAAACGUUGAAAUGGUUUGUGCUGCUUGCACACAACUUCAUCAUGCUUUAGAGGAAGGAAACAUGCUUGGAAAUAAAUUUAAGAGAAGAAAUAUUCUCCUGAAGACCCUUUAUAAACUAGUUGAUGUUGGUUCAGACCCGCUCAGCCUUAAACUUGCAAAAAUUAUUCUAGCACUUAAAGUAAGUAGAAAGAAUCUUCUCAAUGUCUGCAAACUUAUAUUUAAAAUUAGCAGGAGCAAGAAGAAUGAUUCUCUAAUUCAAAAUGACAGCAUUCUGGAAUCAUUAUUGGAGGUCCUGAGAAGUGAAGACCUGCAAACUAACACCGAAGCUUUUUUAUAUUGUAUGGGGGCUAUCAAAUUUCUUUCUGGAAAUCCAGGAUUUCUUAAUGAAAUGAUCAGCAAAGAUGCUGUGGAAAUACUGAUGAAUUUGAUAAAGCAAAUAAAUGAGAACACCAAGAAAUGCGGUACAUGUUUCCCCAAUUCAGGUCACUUGUUAGUCCAAAUAACUGCUACUUUGAGAAACUUGGUUGAUUCACCACUAGCAAGAAGAAAGUUGCUGUGUGUCAGUGCCCUUCCCCAGCUCUGCACAGUGAUGGGACAGUACAUGGAUGACAAGGAUGUCUGCACCAAUAUUGCCAGAAUAUUCAGCAAACUUACUUCUUACCAUGACUGCUGUGUUGCCUUGGCCAACUAUUCCAGAUGUUACGCCUUAUUUUUGAAUCUGAUAAACAAAUACCAGAAGAAGCAGGACUUAGUCGUUCGUAUUGUUUUUAUUCUUGGCAACCUGACGGCAAAAAAUAACCAGGCUCGUGAACAGUUUUCCAAAGAGAAAGGGAGCAUCCCAACUCUGUUGGCAUUAUUCCACCACACGCUCUACGAACUGGACCUGCGAUCCGAGAAGCGAGUGGGGGAAGGAAGUGAGCCACCCAAGGCACAGACGCCGCAGGCCCAGGUGGAGGACGUACUCAUCAAGCUGACCCGUGUGCUCGCCAACUUGGCCAUCCACCCAGGCGUCGGUCAGGCCAUGGCUGCCAACCCGCACGUAGUGGACCCGCUCCUCGCCACGCUGGAAUACAAGUCAAUUGAUGAUUGUGAGGAGCUGGUGAUCAAUACUACAGCGACAAUCAACAACUUAUCUUACUACCAAGUGAAGAAUUCCAUAAUUCAAGACAAAAAGCUAUAUAUUGCUGAAUUGCUCUUAAAGCUCCUCGUGAGUAAUAACAUGGAUGGAAUCCUGGAGGCUGUGCGUGUUUUUGGAAAUCUCUCCCAGGACCGUGACAUCUGCAAUUUCAUUGUGCAGAAGAAUGUACACAAGUUCAUGAUGGCACUGCUGGAUGCUAAGCAUCAGGAUAUUUGCUUUUCUGCCUGUGGUGUUCUUCUAAAUCUCACUGUGGAUAAAGACAAGCGUGUCAUCCUAAAAGAAGGAGGUGGCAUUAAAAAGUUGGUGGAUUGCUUAAGAGAUUUUGGUCCUACUGAUUGGCAGCUGGCCUGCUUAGUUUGCAAAACUUUAUGGAACUUCAGUGAAAAUAUCACUAAUGCUUCAUCAUGUUUUGGAGAUGAAGACACCGACACACUCUUAGUCCUGCUAUCAUCAUUUUUAGAUGAAGAUCUGGCACUGGAUGGCAAUUUUGACCAAGACCUAAAAAACUAUCACAAACUCCAGUGGGAAACAGAAUUCAAACCUGUGGCACAGCAGCUUCUAAACCGAAUUCAGAGCCAUCAUACCUUCCUGGAAGCCCUGCCUAUGCCCGCUUUCUAACAUGAUGCAGAUUAACACCAGAAACAGGAAGUCAGGUCUCCUUCAUUCUUAAGAAGUGGUGCUGUCACCCCCAAAUAACAGCUUUAUAAUAUUGAAAUGGGGGUGGAUGAGUGAGUAUAAAGGGAUAAGAAAGAGAGAAGUUAGAGAGAUGAACAGAAAGAAAAAAAAAAGCAACAGUAUGUAUCUACAAUCAUGAAAAAGCAACCAUACUGAGGAACAAAUUCUAAAAACAGAGUUUAUGAAUACUGCUGAAAUUAAUCAAACAAUAUUUAUUAUUGGUACUAUUAUAUGAUAUGUAACUUGUAAUCCACUUGUGCAAAUAAAACUAAUUAGAAUUAUUCUUCUCAUGUUUCCAGAGUUUCCUGGGGUCAGAUGAGAAAAAAAAAGGGGGAGGAGGAGCUGUCUCAGAGGAAAGGGAGGUCUAUAGAUGGCCUUACAGUGUCUACACUUAGGAGACGCUGUUCUGCUUUAAGCCGCGAUGGUCAAAGGCACCAGUGUCUGGUUGGCCCCACUGGGUGAUGGUUUCUAGAACACCCAGGGACUGAAGUCCUCUAUUCUGUUUUCAGUAGAAAAGAGAAAGCUCUUAUAAAGCCGGUCCAUUCAGGAGGCUAAAGUCAAUAGCCUGGCCACUGAUAAAAUAAGCAGCAGGAGAAAGCCUGACUUUACAGCUAAAAUAAGAAAGUACUGCAGCAAUGAGUUUGUGUGCAUAUGUUAGAAGGUGGUAUAUCAUGACUGCAUUUCCUAUGUAACGUACUAAUGUGGCUGAAUACCUCACAAUCAGGACGUGAAAGUUUUGCAUUUUAAGGAAGUAUCACAGGAGUAGGAAGUAGCUUCAGAAGGAGCCUGAGAAGAGCCAGGAGGGAACCAUAAGGGUCCUAGGUUCCAAGAAGGGACAAGUGUAAGUGUGUCAGGAGACAGAAGAUGGCAUAAAGAGAAAAGAUACCAAAGACGUCUGGUGACACACGUCACCUCUUUUCCUCUGUACUCUAGGACCAGCUUGUUGGCCCCCCCCUCCCCAUCCCUGGAGGCACCUUGUCAAUGUCCCUAACUCUCCCUCUUGCUUAGCUAGGAAAGAGAAAACAAACCAAGCUGUAAUAAGUUGGUUCUCUGAAGCAUAUCCAUAAAAAUAAGCUACUGGAGAAAGAUUUUGAGUUUACGUGUCUGUGUGCAUAUGUGUUCCAAGUACCUGAAUAAUUUAGCCCAAUGGAAAAAUAUCUCUUUAUAAACAUAA